Molecule: ribosomal RNA, 491 nt
Filed under: uncultured bacterium
Lineage: Bacteria
Description: bacterial SSU rRNA
Rfam family: Bacterial small subunit ribosomal RNA
Source: RNAcentral
GACGAACGCUGGCGGCGUGGAUUAGGCAUGCAAGUCGAACGGUAGGAUACCUUCGGGUAUCUGAGAGUGGCGAACGGGUGAGUAACACGUAGGUGAUCUACCCUCAAGAUUGGGACAACCCAGGGAAACUUGGGCUAAUACCGGAUGAAAGCAGCAGUGAUGUUGUUUGAAAGGUGGCGUAAGCUGCCGUUUGGGGAUGAGCCUGCGCUCUAUUAGUUAGUUGGCGGGGUAAAGGCCCACCAAGGCGAUGAUAGAUAGGCGGCCUUAACGGGUGGUCGCCCACACUGGGAUUGAGAUACGGCCCAGACUCCUACGGGAGGCAGCAGUCGAGAAUAGUCUACAAUGGCCGAAAGGCUGAUAGUGCGACGCCGCGUGAACGAAGAAGCCCUUCGGGUGUAAAGUCUUUUAUAUGUGAGCAGUGCUUUCUAUGUGAACAGCAUGGGGAGAGAGAUAUUAGCAUAUGAAUAAGCAACGGCUAACUCCGUGCCAGC